This 324-nucleotide unclassified non-coding RNA is filed under the name soil metagenome. RNAcentral describes it as "partial contains 5.8S ribosomal RNA, internal transcribed spacer 2, and large subunit ribosomal RNA". The stretch from base 1 to 120 matches the Rfam family "5.8S ribosomal RNA", at positions 35 to 154 of the family's 154-position model. The record is from RNAcentral.
GAUGAAGAACGUAGCGAAAUGCGAUAAGUAGUGUGAAUUGCAGAAUUCAGUGAAUCAUCGAAUGUUUGAACGCACAUUGCGCCCCUUGGUAUUCCAUGGGGCAUGCCUGUUCGAGCGUCAUUUGUACCUUCAAGCUUUGCUUGGUGUUGGGUGUUUGUCCCUCGGGACUCGCCUUAAAGUCAUUGGCAGCCAGUGUUUUGGUUUUGAAGCGCAGCACAAGUCGCGAUUCAAGGCUAUCCGCCCGCUUCCACAAGCCUUUUUCACUUUUGACCUCGGAUCAGGUAGGGAUACCCGCUGAACUUAAGCAUAUCAAUAAGCGGAGGA